ACACUCCUGCGGGAGGCAGCAGUGGGGAAUAUUGGACAAUGGGCGCAAGCCUGAUCCAGCCAUGCCGCGUGAGUGAUGAAGGCCCUAGGGUUGUAAAGCUCUUUCACCGGUGAAGAUAAUGACGGUAACCGGAGAAGAAGCCCCGGCUAACUUCGUGCCAGCAGCCGCGGUAAUACGAAGGGGGCUAGCGUUGUUCGGAUUUACUGGGCGUAAAGCGCACGUAGGCGGACUAUUAAGUCAGGGGUGAAAUCCCGGGGCUCAACCCCGGAACUGCCUUUGAUACUGGUAGUCUUGAGUUCGAGAGAGGUGAGUGGAAUUCCGAGUGUAGAGGUGAAAUUCGUAGAUAUUCGGAGGAACACCAGUGGCGAAGGCGGCUCACUGGCUCGAUACUGACGCUGAGGUGCGAAAGCGUGGGGAGCAAUCAGGAUUAGAAACCCGAGUAGUCCCAUGAU
Molecule: ribosomal RNA, 452 nt
Filed under: uncultured organism
Description: partial 16S ribosomal RNA
Rfam family: Bacterial small subunit ribosomal RNA
Source: RNAcentral